This 299-nucleotide unclassified non-coding RNA is filed under the name uncultured fungus. RNAcentral describes it as "sequence contains ITS2". Lineage: Eukaryota; Fungi. The record is from RNAcentral.
AACGCAAAUUGCACUCUCUUCGGAGAGUAUGCCUGUUUGAGGGUCAGUGUCAAUAAAGAUCGGCGUGUUGCUUUCGUGACGCUCCGGAGUUUGAGCUAUCUUAAGAACUCCCGGUUUUCAAGAGGCUUAAAAUUGAUCUAUUUUUUGCGCGCUUUUUAGACGUACAUAAAUCCUUUUUUUAUUCGUCCAUUUUAGUGCCAAAUUUUUUUUUAUUAGGUGCGAUCACGCUUGUGUUGUUUCGUGCCCAUAAUUUCUCAUCUUUUGACCUCAAAUCAGGUAAGGAUACCCGCCGAACUUAA